CCUACGGGGGGCAGCAGUGGGGAAUAUUGCACAAUGGGCGCAAGCCUGAUGCAGCCAUGCCGCGUGUGUGAAGAAGGCCUUCGGGUUGUAAAGCACUUUCAGCGGGGAGGAAGGCGUUAAGGUUAAUAACCUUGGCGAUUGACGUUACCCGCAGAAGAAGCACCGGCUAACUCCGUGCCAGCAGCCGCGGUAAUACGGAGGGUGUAAGCGUUAAUCGGAAUUACUGGGCGUAAAGCGCACGCAGGCGGUCUGUCAAGUCGGAUGUGAAAUCCCCGGGCUCAACCUGGGAACUGCAUUCGAAACUGGCAGGCUAGAGUCUUGUAGAGGGGGGUAGAAUUCCAGGUGUAGCGGUGAAAUGCGUAGAGAUCUGGAGGAAUACCGGUGGCGGAGGCGGCCCCCUGGACAAAGACUGACGCUCAGGUGCGAAAGCGUGGGGAGCAAACAGGAUUAGAUACCCGGGUAGUC
RNAcentral lists this ribosomal RNA (465 nucleotides) under uncultured Klebsiella sp. Its description in RNAcentral is "bacterial SSU rRNA". It matches the Rfam family "Bacterial small subunit ribosomal RNA", at positions 338 to 795 of the family's 1533-position model. Lineage: Bacteria; Pseudomonadati; Pseudomonadota; Gammaproteobacteria; Enterobacterales; Enterobacteriaceae. The record is from RNAcentral.